Molecule: ribosomal RNA, 253 nt
Filed under: uncultured bacterium
Lineage: Bacteria
Description: partial 16S ribosomal RNA
Rfam family: Bacterial small subunit ribosomal RNA
Source: RNAcentral
UACAGAGGGGGCGAGCGUUGUUCGGAAUUACUGGGCGUAAAGGGCGCGUAGGCGGCCCGCUAAGUCGAACGUGAAAUCCCCAGGCUCAACCUGGGAACUGCGUCCGAUACUGGCAGGCUUGAAUCCGGGAGAGGGAUGUGGAAUUCCAGGUGUAGCGGUGAAAUGCGUAGAUAUCAGGAGGAACACCGGUGGCGAAGGCGGCUCUCUGGUCCACAACUGACGCUGAGGUGCGAAAGCUAGGGGAGCAAACGGG